GGGGAGGUGGCUCAAUGGGUAAGAGCACUUGCUGUGCAAGCUUGAGGACCUGAGUUCAAAUCCUUAGCACCCCUG
This 75-nucleotide transfer RNA is filed under the name Neotoma lepida (desert woodrat). It matches the Rfam family "tRNA". Rfam says of the family: Transfer RNA (tRNA) molecules are approximately 80 nucleotides in length. The record is from Rfam by way of RNAcentral. Lineage: Eukaryota; Metazoa; Chordata; Mammalia; Rodentia; Cricetidae.